UGUUCUGUCUUAUUUCUCCGCUCAUCUCUUUACGUCCGGACCUUAUGGUUUACUGAACUUCGUCGUAGUCUGCUUGGUGCAGAUCCACAGACAAAAGGAUAAGUCUUUGUCUCAAGAUUUCUGGUUAGCUUGCGGCUAACCAAGAGUAAAGAAGCUCUCUUUCCUCCUUGCUUCGUCUCCAGCACUGCUGCUCAGCAACAGCUGUUGACGCCAUGUAAUCUGCUCAGAGCGGAAACACCGAACCAAACUCUCUCUCUCUCUUACCACAGCUGCAGGAGCCUGCGUAAGAUUUCUGCAACAAAGUUUAGCAAAAACGGCUGCCUCACGGAGUCUGCCAGCGAACUUUAUGAACUGACUUUGAAGAGAACCACAGACGGAGCUACCAGGUUCCCCAUCUGCACAACGGACUGCACAGCACGGUUUUCUUCAAUCAGAAGCAAAAUUCCUCCCUGCCUGGCUCAUCCAAUGGAACCGCAAGAUAACAGCACCAUGUUCAAAGCAAGUGUUCUUCCUUUACAGACUGGUAGGCAAUUUGAGGACCACAAGGGAAUGGUGGACUCUGUCACUAACAAUGGAAACCACUACAGAGGACCAUGGAUAGUGCCAAAGAAGGAAAAUGAGGGAAGAAGAAGGAAGAUGUUUCUUCACACUAGUUAUCAUCUUCUUGAUAAUAUCAUUAAUGAGAUUACCUGAUUAAAUAAAGGUUAUAUAUAAAUAUAAACUGUAUAUAUCUUUGUUCAAAAAUGUUAAUAUGACUUAAGUUAAGAAUUCUUCUACCAACCAUUGUUGGGUCGUCAUACUUGGUGAGAAAAAAAAAUAUGAUAAGGAUCUCAACCUGUUCUCAGCCUUGUGUAUACAGGACAAGGUUUUAAAACAAAAAGAAAAGAAAAACAAACUAACACAAAAACACACACAUACAGAACAUAAAGGCAAUACAAAUAAAAUUACUUUCAUUGAGCAAAGAUUGGUCUUGAUGAAUACAAUUUCAGUUCUCAGGAACAACUGUCAAACUUUGAAUGCAAUACCUGAGGAGGACAAUCUCAGGUUAUUCCUGGGAGAAUUGGAUCCUAAAAUCUAUUGACUCUGUUCAUUAGUAAUUCAGUGUCUAGCUUACAGCAUCUGCAGCAUCAUUUCAGAAGAACAGUCGAGGAAAGUGUACAGCUGGAGCAGUAAUUCUGUGUCUUUUCUUUCUGGCCUGCCUGUCAAUAGCCACACCACCUGUCACCGGGGGUUGCUACAUCUGUCAAAUACCAUUUUCUGUUGCUUAAGCAUUAACCAAUUUCAAUUCAGUAUUCAAUACAAUAACUUUAUUCAUCCCCAGUGGGGCAGUUAAAAAGUCAACAUCCGCAAUAUCUGGUUCAUCGGCUAUUAAUAAUCUUUCUAUAUGAAUAAAAUUAAAACUAAAUCAGUAAUUUUUUUGCAGCAAAGAACCUCUCAUAGCUAACAAGAAAGACAACAAUAUUUUAUACUCACAGCAAGAGUUCAUUUAAGGUGCACUGCACAGUAUGCAAAAGAAUAGAGAGAUAACAUCAGGACAUCAAAGUCAUGCA
Siniperca chuatsi (mandarin fish) is the source of this 1550-nucleotide long non-coding RNA. RefSeq lists it as uncharacterized. The record is from RefSeq and is a predicted model, not a curated record. The transcript has 3 exons. NCBI's taxonomy places the organism in Eukaryota, Metazoa, Chordata, Actinopteri, Centrarchiformes, Sinipercidae.